Molecule: long non-coding RNA, 771 nt
Organism: Lepus europaeus (European hare)
Lineage: Eukaryota; Metazoa; Chordata; Mammalia; Lagomorpha; Leporidae
Exons: 3
Source: RefSeq, a predicted model, not a curated record
GGACAGCACGCAUACAGUGUGCGGGAGCCUCUGAUAGGACCCUUCCGCACAUGUGCAGUCUCGGCACCAGCACGGAGCCUGGGUAUGGUAGGAAUUCAGCAGCGGAAGAGUGGGAGCAGGGACAAGGCAUCCCAUCCAGCUGACGCUGUAGACAGCAGAUUCCUGGGACCCGCGACGGACUCUCCAGGUCUCGGAACCACCUCCACUGUGCGCACUGCGAGUUUCCCAGCAAGUGAGCUCCCAGCCCUGCCUCUUCACCCACAAACACUUCCUGAUGACGCCGCAGCUCGGAAACCCGGGGCAAUCUGCAGCCCUCGAGUGAGCCGACUGGAAAAAGGUGACUCACUGCUGUGUGGAGCUUUGUGAGACACCCCCAGGAGCUGUGUCUCGAAGGAAUCUUGCUGGCAGCGUGGAGGAGACGCCUGGAGCGCCACUAGGCAGUGGCUCAGGACCAACAGCAACACCCGUGGCUCUUUUACAGCUUUCUUGGCAUCACGUCCAAGGCAGCUCAUGGACCAAGACGGUCACGUGAUGAAUUAGAAACAAAGAGUGCCAGUUCGAGUCCCGGCUGAUGCACUUCAGAUCCAGCUCCUUGCUCAUUCACCUGGGAAAGCAGCGGAGGGUGGUCCAAGUCCUUGGGCCCCUGCACCCAUGUGGGAGACCCGGAAGAAGCUCCUGGCUUCGGAUUGGCUCAGCUCCGGCUGUUGCAGCCACUUGCGGAGUGAACCAAUGGAUGGAAGACCUCUCUCUCCCCCUCCCUCUCCCUCCCUC